RNAcentral lists this ribosomal RNA (643 nucleotides) under uncultured bacterium. RNAcentral's name for it is "bacterial SSU rRNA". It matches the Rfam family "Bacterial small subunit ribosomal RNA", at positions 232 to 885 of the family's 1533-position model. The record is from RNAcentral.
CGCGGCCUAUCAGCUUGUUGGUGGGGUGAUGGCCUACCAAGGCGACGACGGGUAGCCGGCCUGAGAGGGCGACCGGCCACACUGGGACUGAGACACGGCCCAGACUCCUACGGGAGGCAGCAGUGGGGAAUAUUGCACAAUGGGCGGAAGCCUGAUGCAGCGACGCCGCGUGAGGGAUGACGGCCUUCGGGUUGUAAACCUCUUUCAGUAGGGAAGAAGCGAAAGUGACGGUACCUGCAGAAGAAGCGCCGGCUAACUACGUGCCAGCAGCCGCGGUAAUACGUAGGGCGCAAGCGUUAUCCGGAAUUAUUGGGCGUAAAGAGCUCGUAGGCGGUUUGUCGCGUCUGCCGUGAAAGUCCGGGGCUCAACCCCGGAUCUGCGGUGGGUACGGGCAGACUAGAGUGAUGUAGGGGAGACUGGAAUUCCUGGUGUAGCGGUGAAAUGCGCAGAUAUCAGGAGGAACACCGAUGGCGAAGGCGGGUCUCUGGGCAUUAACUGACGCUGAGGAGCGAAAGCAUGGGGAGCGAACAGGAUUAGAUACCCUGGUAGUCCAUGCCGUAAACGUUGGGCACUAGGUGUGGGGGACAUUCCACGUUUUCCGCGCCGUAGCUAACGCAUUAAGUGCCCCGCCUGGGGAGUACGG